UACGUAGGGUGCAAGCGUUGUCCGGAAUUAUUGGGCGUAAAGAGCUCGUAGGCGGUCGGUCGCGUCUGCUGUGAAAACUCGGGGCUUAACUCCGGGCCUGCAGUGGGUACGGGCUGACUAGAGUGCGGUAGGGGAGACUGGAAUUCCUGGUGUAGCGGUGAAAUGCGCAGAUAUCAGGAAGAACACCCGUGGCGAAAGCGGCUCUCUGGAACGGUACUGACGCUGAGACGCGAAAGCGUGGGGAGCGAACAGG
Molecule: ribosomal RNA, 253 nt
Filed under: uncultured bacterium
Lineage: Bacteria
Description: partial 16S ribosomal RNA
Rfam family: Bacterial small subunit ribosomal RNA
Source: RNAcentral